GUGCGAGACCGAUAGCGAACAAGUACCGUGAGGGAAAGAUGAAAAGAACUUUGAAAAGAGAGUUAAAGAGUACCUGAAACUGCUGAAAGGGAACCGAAUCGUUUCCAGUGUCUAUAAUCCAUGGUAUAUUUCAUUGGUGUGUAAGUGCGUGCGGCGUUUUGGAAGUAGUUUUCUGCUCCUGUCGUUGUUGUGCAUUUGCCUGCUGGUGCCCUGUGCUGUGGUGGGACGUCAGAGUCAGUUCGUGUGUUGCGGGAAAUGGUUAUUGGGGAGGUAGGUCACUUCGGUGGCUGUUAUAUCCUGAUAACUAGUCGUCGUGGCUGGGACUGAGGUGCCUACAACGUGCUUUUGAGUCUGCGGGCUUCUCGUGUUGCUGUUUGCUUGGAUAGCUUGCUAUGUUUGUAAAUAAGUCGUGCGAUUGAGACCUGUAGUAACUUGUUGCUGUUCGGGACUUUGA
This 454-nucleotide ribosomal RNA is filed under the name uncultured Oomycota. RNAcentral describes it as "LSU rRNA". It matches the Rfam family "Eukaryotic large subunit ribosomal RNA", at positions 326 to 629 of the family's 3401-position model. Lineage: Eukaryota; Oomycota. The record is from RNAcentral.